RNAcentral lists this long non-coding RNA (1266 nucleotides) under Homo sapiens (human). RNAcentral describes it as "HSALNT0341592". Lineage: Eukaryota; Metazoa; Chordata; Mammalia; Primates; Hominidae. The record is from RNAcentral.
GUUUUCUCCUCGGUUUGGAGCCUGGUGACCGUGACUUCCCCGCCAUGUUCUGUGUGUUGCUGGCUGGAGAAGGGUAGUUGACAAACUCCGACCCAGCACAGUGUUUCUGUGGGUCAAAACUAGAAAACUAUGUCCGGGCUCCGCCGAGGCGGAAGGAUCCCUUCAGGCCAGGAGUUAAAGAGCGGCCUGGGCAACAUGGCGCGACUCCAUCUCUGUAGUCCCUCCUCAGCUUCCCAGAUACUUGAACCCCAAGGUUCAAGGCUGCAAUGAGCUAUGAUCCCAUCACAGCACUCUAUCCUGCGAGACUGAAGUAAACCUUGUCUAAAAAAAUAAACUAUCCAAGUGUGCAACAGGGAGGGACCGCUUAAAGAAAACAUGAGACGGGGUUUCACCAUGUUGGCCAGGCUGGUCUGGAACUCCUGACCUGAAGUGAUCUGCCCACCUCGGCUUCCCAAAGUGCUGGGACUGCAGGUGUGAGCCACUGCGCCUGGCCCCUUCAGGUGGGUUUUGAGGCUUCACGUUGCUGCUGCAAUAAAUUACCACACACUUAGUGGCUUAAAACAGCACAGAGGUAUUCCCUUACAUUUCUGAAGGCCAGAAUUCUAAAAUCAGUCCCACUGAGUCAAGGUGGGAGCAGGGUCAGUGCCUUCCCAGGCUCUGCGGGAGAAUCUGUUUCCUGGCCCUGGAGGCGGCCUGUACUCCUUAGCUUGUGCUGCCCUUCUGGAAUGACUCGAGUUUCCUGCUUUCAUCACUACACCUCCCACCGCUCUCCAUCACCUGCUGUGCUCUUACGAGGAUCCAGCUGAGACAUGUUUUAGGAAGUUUGCUAAAAGACCCCUGGAGACGUCCUCAUUGUGGCCUCCCUGCUGUUGUGUUUAAUUUGGUUGAUCUUCUCUGCCCUCCUGCUUUUCAGAAUUAAAAGGCUAAAAAGAGUUUUCAGAGAAAUGGAAUAAUUGUAUUGCUGAUCUACGUAAACAAGUUGAAGAAUUGUCUGAAAGAAAAUAUGGUGUGUCUGAACUGGAAAAGUCCUGUGAUAGUUUGUUCAUGAGCAUUUACACAAUGGAGUUACUGUUCAUCAUGGGGGUACUGUGGACAAGCCCAGGGCUGCUGGCUGGAGUGCAACGGCACGAUCUUGGCUCACCGCAACCUCCGCCUCCCAGGUUCAAGCGAUUCUCCUGCCUCAGCCUCCCGAGUAGCUGGAAUUACAGGCAUGUGCCACCACACCCGGCUAAUGUUUUUGUAUUUUUAGUAGAGACAGGGUUUCAC